RNAcentral lists this ribosomal RNA (502 nucleotides) under uncultured bacterium. RNAcentral's name for it is "partial 16S ribosomal RNA". It matches the Rfam family "Bacterial small subunit ribosomal RNA", at positions 28 to 507 of the family's 1533-position model. The record is from RNAcentral.
GACGAACGCUGGCGGCGUGCCUAAUACAUGCAAGUCGAACGAACCGCGACUAGGUGCUUGCACUUGGUCAAGGUGAGUGGCGAACGGGUGAGUAACACGUGGGUAACCUACCUCAUAGUGGGGGAUAACAGUCGGAAACGACUGCUAAUACCGCAUAGGACAUGGGAUCACAUGAUUCUGUGAGGAAAGGUGGCGCAAGCUAUCGCUACGAGAUGGACCCGCGGUGCAUUAGCUAGUUGGUAGGGUAACGGCCUACCAAGGCGAUGAUGCAUAGCCGACCUGAGAGGGUGAUCGGCCACAUUGGGACUGAGACACGGCCCAAACUCCUACGGGAGGCAGCAGUAGGGAAUCUUCCGCAAUGGACGCAAGUCUGACGGAGCAACGCCGCGUGAGUGAAGAAGGUCUUCGGAUCGUAAAGCUCUGUUGUUAGAGAAGAACAGCGCAUAGAGUAACUGUUAUGCGUGUGACGGUAGCUAACCAGAAAGCCACGGCUAACUACGUG